This is a long non-coding RNA of Chionomys nivalis (European snow vole), 228 nucleotides long. RefSeq lists it as uncharacterized. NCBI's taxonomy places the organism in Eukaryota, Metazoa, Chordata, Mammalia, Rodentia, Cricetidae. The record is from RefSeq and is a predicted model, not a curated record. The transcript has 3 exons.
UGGGAGGAAGUGCCCAGUUUGGAAACAGCACUAGUUUCCUGGACACCAUCUGUGCAAGGCUUCAUCCAAGGACAGGAUUAUGCAGAGCAAGCAAUUCAUCUAAGAGAAGAAGAGGCAAUCAGCGGAAAGCAGCAAACUGUGCUGAAGGGCAAAGGAGUCAUGGCUCCUGGGGCAGAAAGAGGUGAAAGACUGCCGAACUGAAAGACCCUGCACCUUCCAUCUGUGGUG